GACGAACGCUGGCGGCGUGCCUAAUACAUGCAAGUGGGACGCAAGGGAACACACUGUGCUUGCACACCGUGUUUUCUUGAGUCGCGAACGGGUGAGUAACGCGUAGGUAACCUGCCUAUUAGCGGGGGAUAACUAUUGGAAACGAUAGCUAAUACCGCAUAAUAUUAAUUAUUGCAUGAUAAUUGAUUGAAAGAUGCAAGCGCAUCACUAGUAGAUGGACCUGCGUUGUAUUAGCUAGUUGGUAAGGUAAGAGCUUACCAAGGCGACGAUACAUAGCCGACCUGAGAGGGUGAUCGGCCACACUGGGACUGAGACACGGCCCAGACUCCUACGGGAGGCAGCAGUAGGGAAUCUUCGGCAAUGGACGAAAGUCUGACCGAGCAACGCCGCGUGAGUGAAGAAGGUUUUCGGAUCGUAAAGCUCUGUUGUAAGUCAAGAACGUGUGUGAGAGUGGAAAGUUCACA
RNAcentral lists this ribosomal RNA (464 nucleotides) under Streptococcus mutans. Its description in RNAcentral is "bacterial SSU rRNA". It matches the Rfam family "Bacterial small subunit ribosomal RNA", at positions 28 to 468 of the family's 1533-position model. The record is from RNAcentral. Lineage: Bacteria; Bacillati; Bacillota; Bacilli; Lactobacillales; Streptococcaceae.